This 207-nucleotide ribosomal RNA is filed under the name uncultured bacterium. Its description in RNAcentral is "partial 16S ribosomal RNA". It matches the Rfam family "Bacterial small subunit ribosomal RNA", at positions 568 to 774 of the family's 1533-position model. The record is from RNAcentral.
AGCGCAGGCGGGAAAGUAAGUCUAUCUUAAAAGUGCGGGGCUCAACCCCCGUGAGGGGAUAGAAACUAUUUUUCUUGAGUGCAGGAGAGGAAAGCGGAAUUCCUAGUGUAGCGGUGAAAUGCGUAGAUAUUAGGAGGAACACCAGUGGCGAAGGCGGCUUUCUGGACUGUAACUGACGCUGAGGCUCGAAAGCCAGGGGAGCGAACG